Molecule: long non-coding RNA, 300 nt
Organism: Orcinus orca (killer whale)
Lineage: Eukaryota; Metazoa; Chordata; Mammalia; Artiodactyla; Delphinidae
Exons: 3
Source: RefSeq, a predicted model, not a curated record
GAUGUUUAUAGCUGCUUUACUCAUAAGUGCCAAACCUUGGAAGCAACCAAGAUGCCCUGAAGUUAAUACUGUUAAGCUUUGCAGUAAGAGAAUGAAGAUUUUGAUGGUUGAGAUUCCUGUUUCUGCCAAGAUAGUUACUUCUCCCUUAAAGGAAAAGUUUCAGUAGACUGCCACAAGCUAGUGAAGUUCUGUGCCUUCACAGGUUCUCAUAGACAAACUGACUUGGGGAAGCAAAGAAGAGAAGGGAAGACUGAACAAGGCAAUUCUUACAGUGAACCAGGAGCCUCAGCAACAUGUCCU